Molecule: ribosomal RNA, 402 nt
Filed under: Triticum aestivum (bread wheat)
Lineage: Eukaryota; Viridiplantae; Streptophyta; Magnoliopsida; Poales; Poaceae
Description: partial small subunit ribosomal RNA
Source: RNAcentral
CAAGCACUGCCACCGUGAUGGAAGAUGCUCGAAGUGGCCGCUGCCACCAAAGACCAAUCCUACCUCCUCCAACGCUUCCUCCACAUGUGUUCUGCUUGCUGUACAGGUGCACAAGAGAUACGCCGUCCACAGGCUGGCUUACAAGGAUGACAAGCACAACGAGCACCGGGAGAGGAAGAGGGGGUUCCUAUGUUGUGUUUUGCAUCGCCUCCACCAACCCCCUGCGCUUCUUCUUCCACUCCGGCAUAGAGCACAACUUCAGCAUCCCUACAGAUGUGAAGAUGCCCAUCUCCAAUGGUUUCUACCGCCAUAUCUACAACCCCGACUAGAUUUAUCAAUGUAUGGGAUCUCUCCUUAUCCAGCGGUCAGUCCGACGUCUGGCAUAUGUAAGCCACAUUUUCC